GACGAACGCUGGCGGCGUGCUUAACACAUGCAAGUCGAACGGAAAGGCCCUGCUUUGGUGGGGUGCGCGAGUGGCGAACGGGUGAGUAACACGUGAGUAACCUGCCCCUGACUGUGGGAUAACUUCAGGACAGUGGGGCUAAUACGGGAUAGGAGCUACUGCUGCAUGGUGGGGGUGGGAAAGAUUCGGCUGUUGGGAAUGGACUAGCGGCGCAUCAGCUUGGUGGUGGGGUAGUGGCUUACCAAGGCUUUGAGGGGUAGCAGGCCUGGGAGGGUAAGCGGCCACGCCAGAACUGAGAUGCGGCCCAGCCUAGUACGGGAGGCGACGGAGGGGAAGGUUGCACUAGGGGCGGAAGCCUGGUGCAGUCACGCCGUGUCGGGGAUGACGGCCAUCGGGUUGUAAUGCGCUUUCGCUUGUCACGAGGUGUGAGUGACGGUACCGGGUAAAGAAGCUCCGGCUAACUACGUG
This 468-nucleotide ribosomal RNA is filed under the name uncultured bacterium. RNAcentral's name for it is "partial 16S ribosomal RNA". It matches the Rfam family "Bacterial small subunit ribosomal RNA", at positions 28 to 507 of the family's 1533-position model. The record is from RNAcentral.